RNAcentral lists this ribosomal RNA (254 nucleotides) under uncultured bacterium. RNAcentral's name for it is "partial 16S ribosomal RNA". It matches the Rfam family "Bacterial small subunit ribosomal RNA", at positions 524 to 776 of the family's 1533-position model. The record is from RNAcentral.
UACGUAGGGUGCGAGCGUUGUCCGGAAUUACUGGGCGUAAAGAGCUCGUAGGUGGUUUGUCGCGUUGUUCGUGAAAACCGGGGGCUUAACCCUCGGCGUGCGGGCGAUACGGGCAGACUUGAGUACUGCAGGGGAGACUGGAAUUCCUGGUGUAGCGGUGGAAUGCGCAGAUAUCAGGAGGAACACCGGUGGCGAAGGCGGAUCUCUGGGCCAUUACUGACGCUGAGGAGCGAAAGCGUGGGGGAGCGAACAGG